This 1284-nucleotide long non-coding RNA is filed under the name Carica papaya (papaya). RNAcentral describes it as "long non-coding RNA (CPAP_LNC002215)". Lineage: Eukaryota; Viridiplantae; Streptophyta; Magnoliopsida; Brassicales; Caricaceae. The record is from RNAcentral.
UAGGUGUCAAGAAAACUGGCCAUCUUUGCCAGUUGUGGUCGGCCAUCCAACAUAUCAAUGUUUGGGACACCGUGCAUGUGUUUGGACCAUUGAGAUGUUGGGUAAAUUUAGAUAAAGGCUUCCUUCUCUUCAAAACUUCAUCUUCAUCUUCUUCAAACCCAAAAUUCCAGUUAAACAAGUGAAUGAGAGGGAAGAUUGAGAGCAAAAGAUAGUAUAGAGAGAGAGACGCACCAGAAUAGAACACAUGUUUUAUGUGAGUAUCAGAGGAGAAAUUGCUUCUUCUUGAUAAGAUGAGUCAUUUUUUCCUCUUCUGAUUUAUUCUUUUUAAUUCUUUGGUGUCAUAAGACAUUUCUAUUUGGAAGAUUAACUAUUAAAUUAUUGCUGCAAGUCCCAGAACUUAGAACAAUAGCUGCUACACUUGAACGACGCCUCUGUUUAAGUAGGCAUCUGUUCUCUAUUCCAACUCAUUUUCUAUUUUAUUUUUUUUUUACAAAUUCAUAAUCAAUCAUUAGGAUAACGUGUUAGAAAUGUUAGAAUUUAUUUUUUAGUAGUAAAACAAAUCACAAACACGAAUCUAUCUUGAAAACAUCACUCAACUUAGCAUGCAUAAUCAUACUAAACUGUAGAGAAAAAUCUUCAAAUUUUCAACAAUUCCUUCACGCGAUUUAGCUUAUGUCUUGUGCAGUUAUUAAGUAAGAUAGGUAAUAUUUUAGAUUAUACAAAAAUAGCCUUUAUAUAUUAAUUUGCAUGUGGUAAACUCUUUCAAAAAUUAAAACUAACCCGGUGUUUUAAAUAGAUAGAGUGAGUAAUUGUCAUUUGCAUUUUUUUAGUGAUUUUUAUUUACUAAUUUUAUGAGUUUUAACAUUUAAUUAUUAUAUUAAUUCAGUAUAAAUUAAAUGACGAAUAAUUAUUAGAGAAACUGGAAAGAAAAUGACAAAAAACAAAAGUUCAUUUGUUUCUUCUAAGAAUGUCGGACACCAAAGUGCCUUGUGGUUAUGCAGCCCUAUUCUGCAGUACUAGUUCACAUAAGAGACAUUUUUCUGGGUACCCAGAAUUGCUUAAGACUUCUCUAGCAUGGUGUAGAAAAGAAAAUGUCAGAGGGUGCAAAGCUGAUCUGGGCAUCUGUGAAUGCAAAAGAUGGAAAGCUAGCAGUAUGCCACUACAGAGUCUAUUUCCCUUGCGCCAGUUGCUUGUGCAAUAGGCUAGCAGGCCAUGCUGGCUGGACUGGCAUGAAAUCAGUGAACCACAUUUAACUAAAUAUUGUGUUAUUUGAGUUUUAAACCC